ACGGCAGCACGGACUUCGGUCUGGUGGCGAGUGGCGAACGGGUGAGUAACAUAUCGGAACGUAUCCAAUAAUGGGGGAUAACUAAUCGAAAGGUUGGCUAAUACCGCAUACGCCCUACGGGGGAAAGCUAGGGACCUUCGGGCCUGGCGUUAAUGGAGCGGCCGAUAUCUGAUUAGCUAGUUGGUGGGGUAAAGGCUCACCAAGGCGACGAUCAGUAGCUGGUCUGAGAGGACGACCAGCCACACUGGAACUGAGACACGGUCCAGACUCCUACGGGAGGCAGCAGUGGGGAAUUUUGGACAAUGGGCGCAAGCCUGAUCCAGCCAUUCCGCGUGAGUGAAGAAGGCCUUCGGGUUGUAAAGCUCUUUCGCAAGGGAAGAAAACUUACCCUCUAACAUAGGGUGAGGUUGACGGUACCUUGAUAAGAAGCACCGGCUAACUCCGUGCCAGCAGCCGCGGUAAUACGGAGGGUGCAAGCGUUAAUCGGAAUUACUGGGCGUAAAGCGCGCGUAGGCGGUUUGUUAAGUGUGAUGUGAAAGCCCAGGGCUUAACCUUGGAACUGCAUCACAUACUGGCAGGCUAGAGUACGGUAGAGGGGGGUAGAAUUCCAGGUGUAGCGGUGAAAUGCGUAGAUAUCUGGAGGAACACCGGUGGCGAAGGCGGCGUCCUGGACCGGUAUUGACACUGAGGAGCGAAAGCCAGGGGAGCAAACGGGAUUAGAUACCCCGGUAGUCCUGGCCCUAAACGAUGAGUGCUUGGUGUGGCGGGUAUCGAUCCCCGCCGUGCCGGAGCUAACGCGUU
Molecule: ribosomal RNA, 801 nt
Filed under: uncultured bacterium
Lineage: Bacteria
Description: bacterial SSU rRNA
Rfam family: Bacterial small subunit ribosomal RNA
Source: RNAcentral